This 28-nucleotide non-coding RNA is filed under the name Mus musculus (house mouse). Lineage: Eukaryota; Metazoa; Chordata; Mammalia; Rodentia; Muridae. The record is from RNAcentral.
CGUGCUUUGGUUUCAGGGUUACGAGAUC